RNAcentral lists this ribosomal RNA (775 nucleotides) under uncultured bacterium. RNAcentral describes it as "bacterial SSU rRNA". It matches the Rfam family "Bacterial small subunit ribosomal RNA", at positions 625 to 1400 of the family's 1533-position model. The record is from RNAcentral.
AUCGGAAACCGGGCGACUUGAGUGCAGAAGAGGACAGUGGAACUCCAUGUGUAGCGGUGGAAUGCGUAGAUAUAUGGAAGAACACCAGUGGCGAAGGCGGCUGUCUGGUCUGCAACUGACGCUGAGGCUCGAAAGCAUGGGUAGCGAACAGGAUUAGAUACCCUGGUAGUCCAUGCCGUAAACGAUGAGUGCUAGGUGUUGGAGGGUUUCCGCCCUUCAGUGCCGGAGCUAACGCAUUAAGCACUCCGCCUGGGGAGUACGACCGCAAGGUUGAAACUCAAAGGAAUUGACGGGGGCCCGCACAAGCGGUGGAGCAUGUGGUUUAAUUCGAAGCUACGCGAAGAACCUUACCAGGUCUUGACAUCUUGCGCUAACCUUAGAGAUAAGGCGUUCCCUUCGGGGACGCAAUGACAGGUGGUGCAUGGUCGUCGUCAGCUCGUGUCGUGAGAUGUUGGGUUAAGUCCCGCAACGAGCGCAACCCUUGUUACUAGUUGCCAGCAUUAAGUUGGGCACUCUAGUGAGACUGCCGGUGACAAACCGGAGGAAGGUGGGGAUGACGUCAAAUCAUCAUGCCCCUUAUGACCUGGGCUACACACGUGCUACAAUGGACGGUACAACGAGUCGCAAGACCGCGAGGUUUAGCAAAUCUCUUAAAGCCGUUCUCAGUUCGGAUUGUAGGGGGCAACUCGCCUACAUGAAGUCGGAAUCGCUAGUAAUCGCGGAUCAGCAUGCCGCGGUGAAUACGUUCCCGGGCCUUGCACUCACCGCCCGUCAA